AUGGCGACAAAGUGCAUCAUCGGCGCGUUGGUUGGAUCCCUUGGCGUUGCAUACGUCUGCGACACGAUCGUUUCUGACAAGAAGAUCUUUGGAGGCACUGUUUGCAAGACCGCGACCGACAGGGAGUGGUUUCAGGCCACAGACGCCAAGUUCCAGGCCUGGCCUCGCACCGCUGGGCCGCCGGUCAUCAUGAACCCCAUCAGCCGCCAGAACUUCAUCGUCAAGAACCCUUGA
RNAcentral lists this ribosomal RNA (234 nucleotides) under Triticum aestivum (bread wheat). RNAcentral describes it as "partial small subunit ribosomal RNA". Lineage: Eukaryota; Viridiplantae; Streptophyta; Magnoliopsida; Poales; Poaceae. The record is from RNAcentral.